RNAcentral lists this ribosomal RNA (253 nucleotides) under uncultured bacterium. Its description in RNAcentral is "partial 16S ribosomal RNA". It matches the Rfam family "Bacterial small subunit ribosomal RNA", at positions 524 to 776 of the family's 1533-position model. The record is from RNAcentral.
GACGUAGGGCGCGAGCGUUGUCCGGAUUUAUUGGGCGUAAAGAGCUCGUAGGCGGCUUGUCGCGUCGAAUGUGAAAUCUCAGGGCUCAACUCUGACAUUGCAUUCGAUACGGGCAGGCUAGAGUUCGGUAGGGGAGACUGGAAUUCCUGGUGUAGCGGUGAAAUGCGCAGAUAUCAGGAGGAACACCGAUGGCGAAGGCAGGUCUCUGGGCCGAUACUGACGCUGAGGAGCGAAAGCGUGGGGAGCGAACAGG